AAAUUGAAGAGUUUGAUCAUGGCUCAGAUUGAACGCUGGCGGCAGGCCUAACACAUGCAAGUCGAGCGGUAGCACAGAGAGCUUGCUCUCGGGUGACGAGCGGCGGACGGGUGAGUAAUGUCUGGGAAACUGCCUGAUGGAGGGGGAUAACUACUGGAAACGGUAGCUAAUACCGCAUAACGUCGCAAGACCAAAGUGGGGGACCUUCGGGCCUCAUGCCAUCAGAUGUGCCCAGAUGGGAUUAGCUAGUAGGUGGGGUAAUGGCUCACCUAGGCGACGAUCCCUAGCUGGUCUGAGAGGAUGACCAGCCACACUGGAACUGAGACACGGUCCAGACUCCUACGGGAGGCAGCAGUGGGGAAUAUUGCACAAUGGGCGCAAGCCUGAUGCAGCCAUGCCGCGUGUGUGAAGAAGGCCUUCGGGUUGUAAAGCACUUUCAGCGGGGAGGAAGGCGAUAAGGUUAAUAACCUUGUCGAUUGACGUUACCCGCAGAAGAAGCACCGGCUAACUCCGUGCCAGCAGCCGCGGUAAUACGGAGGGUGCAAGCGUUAAUCGGAAUUACUGGGCGUAAAGCGCACGCAGGCGGUCUGUCAAGUCGGAUGUGAAAUCCCCGGGCUCAACCUGGGAACUGCAUUCGAAACUGGCAGGCUAGAGUCUUGUAGAGGGGGGUAGAAUUCCAGGUGUAGCGGUGAAAUGCGUAGAGAUCUGGAGGAAUACCGGUGGCGAAGGCGGCCCCCUGGACAAAGACUGACGCUCAGGUGCGAAAGCGUGGGGAGCAAACAGGAUUAGAUACCCUGGUAGUCCACGCCGUAAACGAUGUCGAUUUGGAGGUUGUGCCCUUGAGGCGUGGCUUCCGGAGCUAACGCGUUAAAUCGACCGCCUGGGGAGUACGGCCGCAAGGUUAAAACUCAAAUGAAUUGACGGGGGCCCGCACAAGCGGUGGAGCAUGUGGUUUAAUUCGAUGCAACGCGAAGAACCUUACCUGGUCUUGACAUCCACAGAACUUUCCAGAGAUGGAUUGGUGCCUUCGGGAACUGUGAGACAGGUGCUGCAUGGCUGUCGUCAGCUCGUGUUGUGAAAUGUUGGGUUAAGUCCCGCAACGAGCGCAACCCUUAUCCUUUGUUGCCAGCGGUUA
RNAcentral lists this ribosomal RNA (1135 nucleotides) under Klebsiella pneumoniae. Its description in RNAcentral is "bacterial SSU rRNA". It matches the Rfam family "Bacterial small subunit ribosomal RNA", at positions 1 to 1127 of the family's 1533-position model. Lineage: Bacteria; Pseudomonadati; Pseudomonadota; Gammaproteobacteria; Enterobacterales; Enterobacteriaceae. The record is from RNAcentral.